Molecule: small nucleolar RNA, 78 nt
Organism: Lolium rigidum
Lineage: Eukaryota; Viridiplantae; Streptophyta; Magnoliopsida; Poales; Poaceae
Product: small nucleolar RNA R160
Exons: 1
Source: RefSeq, a predicted model, not a curated record
AGCGAGUGAGGAGGCGAAAUCAUCUGAAUAUUUUUCUACUGUAGAUAAUACCAACAUGGUUAGGGUUAUCUGAUCGCU